UACGUAGGGUGCAGGCGUUAAUCGGAAUUACUGGGCGUAAAGAGUGCGUAGGCGGUUCUUGAAGUCCGCUGUGAAAGCCCCGGGCUUAACCUGGGAAUGGCAGUGGAAACUGGGGGACUUGAAUUGAGCAGAGGGGGGUGGAAUGCCGCGUGUAGCAGUGAAAUGCGUAGAGAUGCGGCGGAACACCGAUGGCGAAGGCAGCCCCCUGGGCUUAAAUUGACGCUGAGGCACGAAAGCGUGGGGAGCAAACAGG
RNAcentral lists this ribosomal RNA (253 nucleotides) under uncultured bacterium. RNAcentral describes it as "partial 16S ribosomal RNA". It matches the Rfam family "Bacterial small subunit ribosomal RNA", at positions 524 to 776 of the family's 1533-position model. The record is from RNAcentral.